UACGUAGGUGGCAAGCGUUGUCCGGAAUUAUUGGGCGUAAAGCGCGCGCAGGCGGUUUCUUAAGUCUGAUGUGAAAGCCCACGGCUCAACCGUGGAGGGUCAUUGGAAACUGGGAAACUUGAGUGCAGAAGAGGAGAGCGGAAUUCCACGUGUAGCGGUGAAAUGCGUAGAGAUGUGGAGGAACACCAGUGGCGAAGGCGGCUCUCUGGUCUGUAACUGACGCUGAGGCGCGAAAGCGUGGGGAGCGAACAGG
Molecule: ribosomal RNA, 253 nt
Filed under: uncultured bacterium
Lineage: Bacteria
Description: partial 16S ribosomal RNA
Rfam family: Bacterial small subunit ribosomal RNA
Source: RNAcentral